RNAcentral lists this ribosomal RNA (1332 nucleotides) under Microbacterium sp. RNAcentral describes it as "bacterial SSU rRNA". It matches the Rfam family "Bacterial small subunit ribosomal RNA", at positions 83 to 1426 of the family's 1533-position model. The record is from RNAcentral. Lineage: Bacteria; Bacillati; Actinomycetota; Actinomycetes; Micrococcales; Microbacteriaceae.
CUGGGUGGAUCAGUGGCGAACGGGUGAGUAACACGUGAGCAACCUGCCCCUGACUCUGGGAUAAGCGCUGGAAACGGCGUCUAAUACUGGAUACGAGACGUGACCGCAUGGUCAACGUUUGGAAAGAUUUUUCGGUUGGGGAUGGGCUCGCGGCCUAUCAGCUUGUUGGUGAGGUAAUGGCUCACCAAGGCGUCGACGGGUAGCCGGCCUGAGAGGGUGACCGGCCACACUGGGACUGAGACACGGCCCAGACUCCUACGGGAGGCAGCAGUGGGGAAUAUUGCACAAUGGGCGGAAGCCUGAUGCAGCAACGCCGCGUGAGGGAUGACGGCCUUCGGGUUGUAAACCUCUUUUAGCAGGGAAGAAGCGAAAGUGACGGUACCUGCAGAAAAAGCGCCGGCUAACUACGUGCCAGCAGCCGCGGUAAUACGUAGGGCGCAAGCGUUAUCCGGAAUUAUUGGGCGUAAAGAGCUCGUAGGCGGUUUGUCGCGUCUGCUGUGAAAUCUGGGGGCUCAACCCCCAGCCUGCAGUGGGUACGGGCAGACUAGAGUGCGGUAGGGGAGAUUGGAAUUCCUGGUGUAGCGGUGGAAUGCGCAGAUAUCAGGAGGAACACCGAUGGCGAAGGCAGAUCUCUGGGCCGUAACUGACGCUGAGGAGCGAAAGGGUGGGGAGCAAACAGGCUUAGAUACCCUGGUAGUCCACCCCGUAAACGUUGGGAACUAGUUGUGGGGUCCAUUCCACGGAUUCCGUGACGCAGCUAACGCAUUAAGUUCCCCGCCUGGGGAGUACGGCCGCAAGGCUAAAACUCAAAGGAAUUGACGGGGACCCGCACAAGCGGCGGAGCAUGCGGAUUAAUUCGAUGCAACGCGAAGAACCUUACCAAGGCUUGACAUAUACGAGAACGGGCCAGAAAUGGUCAACUCUUUGGACACUCGUAAACAGGUGGUGCAUGGUUGUCGUCAGCUCGUGUCGUGAGAUGUUGGGUUAAGUCCCGCAACGAGCGCAACCCUCGUUCUAUGUUGCCAGCACGUAAUGGUGGGAACUCAUGGGAUACUGCCGGGGUCAACUCGGAGGAAGGUGGGGAUGACGUCAAAUCAUCAUGCCCCUUAUGUCUUGGGCUUCACGCAUGCUACAAUGGCCGGUACAAAGGGCUGCAAUACCGCGAGGUGGAGCGAAUCCCAAAAAGCCGGUCCCAGUUCGGAUUGAGGUCUGCAACUCGACCUCAUGAAGUCGGAGUCGCUAGUAAUCGCAGAUCAGCAACGCUGCGGUGAAUACGUUCCCGGGUCUUGUACACACCGCCCGUCAAGUCAUGAAAGUCGGUAACACCUGAAG